Molecule: ribosomal RNA, 467 nt
Filed under: uncultured bacterium
Lineage: Bacteria
Description: partial 16S ribosomal RNA
Rfam family: Bacterial small subunit ribosomal RNA
Source: RNAcentral
ACGAACGCUGGCGGCGUGCUUAACACAUGCAAGUCGAACGGAAAGGCCCUGCUUUUGUGGGGUGCUCGAGUGGCGAACGGGUGAGUAACACGUGAGUAACCUGCCCUUGACUUUGGGAUAACUUCAGGAAACUGGGGCUAAUACCGGAUAGGAGCUCCUGCUGCAUGGUGGGGGUUGGAAAGUUUCGGCGGUUGGGGAUGGACUCGCGGCUUAUCAGCUUGUUGGUGGGGUAGUGGCUUACCAAGGCUUUGACGGGUAGCCGGCCUGAGAGGGUGACCGGCCACAUUGGGACUGAGAUACGGCCCAGACUCCUACGGGAGGCAGCAGUGGGGAAUAUUGCACAAUGGGCGGAAGCCUGAUGCAGCAACGCCGCGUGCGGGAUGACGGCCUUCGGUUUGUAAACCGCUUUCGCCUGUGACGAAGCGUGAGUGACGGUAAUGGGUAAAGAAGCACCGGCUAACUACGUG